GAUGAACGCUGGCGGCGUGCCUAAUACAUGCAAGUAGAACGCUGAAGCUUGGUGCUUGCACCGAGCGGAUGAGUUGCGAACGGGUGAGUAACGCGUAGGUAACCUGCCUCUUAGCGGGGGAUAACUAUUGGAAACGAUAGCUAAUACCGCAUAAAAGUCGACAUCGCAUGAUGUUGACUUGAAAGGUGCAAUUGCAUCACUAAGAGAUGGACCUGCGUUGUAUUAGCUAGUUGGUGAGGUAACGGCUCACCAAGGCGACGAUACAUAGCCGACCUGAGAGGGUGAUCGGCCACACUGGGACUGAGACACGGCCCAGACUCCUACGGGAGGCAGCAGUAGGGAAUCUUCGGCAAUGGGGGCAACCCUGACCGAGCAACGCCGCGUGAGUGAAGAAGGUUUUCGGAUCGUAAAGCUCUGUUGUAAGAGAAGAACGAGUGUGAGAGUGGAAAGUUCACACUGUGACGGUAACUUACCAGAAAGGGACGGCGAACUACGU
RNAcentral lists this ribosomal RNA (496 nucleotides) under uncultured bacterium. RNAcentral describes it as "partial 16S ribosomal RNA". It matches the Rfam family "Bacterial small subunit ribosomal RNA", at positions 28 to 506 of the family's 1533-position model. The record is from RNAcentral.